RNAcentral lists this long non-coding RNA (3611 nucleotides) under Gadus morhua (Atlantic cod). RNAcentral describes it as "lncRNA (ENSGMOG00000029474.1)". The record is from RNAcentral. Lineage: Eukaryota; Metazoa; Chordata; Actinopteri; Gadiformes; Gadidae.
AUGUCCACAGGAAACAACAUGAUCCCGGAACCCCGGACAUUGUACAAGUGCUGUGGACAGGAGACCUAUAAUGAGGACCGGCGGUUGUGCUGUGGACGUCUGGGCAGUGAGAAGAUCCUUAUGAAGGAACACAAGGACAGCAUUUGCUGUGGAGACGUCCAGUACAACCCACAGACACAGCGCUGCUGCGGAGAUCCUCCUGAAAUAAAUGACCUCUCAAUUUCCUGUGAGACGGACUGUAAACAGGUUUUGACCCAAGAGCCUACAGCAAACAACAGGAUGUCGGGACCCCGGACAUUGUCCAAGUGCUGUGGACAGGGUGAGUAUCGAUCAUCUGUUACAAAACACAGAGUAGACGUUAUCAGGGUAUAUGCAGGAAUCAUAGAGAUGAAUUUACUACCUUUUACUACCUUUUUUACUACCUCCACAAUAUCAACAACACGACAUCAAGCAGCGGGGCGGGGGGGAUCCAAAGCAAAGCUUACUACUUACUGUAAGGUAUAAAUGUGACACUGGUAUAAAUGUGACACUGCCGCGAUCCCUGUAGGCAAUUAUUUUUUUUACUACCUUUUACGACUGCGCGGACACCCUGGUUAUAUGGUUUGUGGUCUGAAUCCAGUCUGGUCCUUCGUAUCGGGUGUGGUGUGUGGAGUGGGGUGAUGCUGGCCCUGCGAUACUGUCCAACCGUGUAUCCUGUGGCGUUGGGGAAGGGCGGCAGGUACAGGUCAGGAUGCGACUGGGAGUAUCUAGCCCAACCCUGCACGCUAGGCGGCAUGAGAAAGAUGGUCGCCGAGGAGUGGGAUGGAGUGGGAAAAGCAUCCUGCUUUUCCCACACAAUCCCAGCCACCCCGAUAUAGUAAGAAGCCCCCACCCUCUUCCUCCCUGAACUUUUCCUUCCUCUUCCAUUCAUUCAGAGUAGCCAUAGAGACCGACACGUGUCUAGGAAGACUUAUUGACCCAAGGCGACACGAGUUGGCUCAUGUCAUAGCAUCUUGUUAAAUACAGCCUCAUAGCCAACUUCUACACACGUACAGUAACAGCAACAGUUUAGAGUGGAGCAAAUCCCUGAGCAGUUUAAUCAGUUUAUGAUACAGGACAGCGCGUAAAUGCUCUCCCUGGCAAUUCUUAUCUGGCUCAUGGGUUCAACUCCUGUUGUGAUUGGUAAGUUUGCACUACAAAUGAUAUGGACUGUUAUCAUUUUUUAUCGCAGUCCUUUUCAUCAUAUACUCUAUUGUGGGGCUAUGGCGGGGCAAAUCAACUCUGGUUGUUUGUUGUAUAAUGUCAUUCUUCUCCUUAUGGUCGAGGUAAAAUAGCUUUUUUGCCAGUGUAAACUUUCCGCCAUUUUGACCAGGGGUCUAUUCUGGAGAGAAACCUUUUUCUCAUACAUUUUGGCGCUGUAUUUUGUGCAUGGCCUAUUUGGGUUUUUGCUAUUGUGGCUUUUUGGAUGGGCUUUUUGGAGGUUGGUUACAAAGGGCGCUUUGGUACUUGAAACAGGUGUUAAAAAAUAAAAAAUUAGGUUUAGAGAUAAAGAAAGCCAAAUGAAGUUUACAUUCUGUUGGUUUAAACUCCCAGUCCCAAGGCAUGGAAAUUUCACUUUCUGAGGUUUUCUAACGUUAAUAUGAGGUCCCCUAGCCUACCUUUGCUCCCCCAGUAGCUAGGAAUUUUGUUGGGUGUAAAACGAGAACUAGGCAUUCUGCUCCGCCUUUAAAAAACCUAAGCUCAGACGCUCCGUUUUGGAAUUUUCCCUAUAUGUCGUCAUAAGGGGAGAUGCCACCUCGCCCUUCUCUGCCUUGCCAGCCCAGAGAAUUUGGCCCGCCAAUGAGAUACGACCGUGCGAGCGCCAAAUGUUUGUGUCUGUGUGCGCGUGUGUGUAUCUGUGUGCGCGUGUGCAUGUGUUUGUGUGUGUGAUUACAUACACUGUAACGCAAGUGUGUUAUGGCGCAUAACACGUCGGACUCCCGUCUCUGGUAUUUCCACAAUGAGAUUCUUAGUGGGGAUUGUCUCAGCCAUGGUUGAGAAGGACUUGGGGGAAAGGAACUUUGGCUUUGACUCCCUGAAGUACACGAACCAUGACAUGGAGGAGAAAGGGAUUGUUGCCCUCGAAUGUCUUCCGCUUGAGCCCCGCUUCCCGCUGCCGAGGGACCACCACCUCGGCGCUGCCCGCUGCAGGAGGUGGUGUUGCCUAACGCCUCGUGCCCACUGCCUCCGUCCGUUGACUGAUCCCCAUUGACUUUGAAUGGGGACGGACGCACAAUGCAUUGUGGAUCCGUGCGCUGAAGGCUCCGUCAAAGAGUUGAACAAUUUUCAACUUUUUCGGCAGCGACGGAUCCUUCAUCCAAUCAGAUCACGUCUUCAAAUUUAAGCACUGUGACACUACUCGGGCUCUGACGACCCUGGAAACCUCCCCCAUCCGUCAGCCACGCCUUCUGAGUCAUUUGACUGACGGUGCAGUGGGCACGAGGCGUAAGCGCUGACCGCUGCCGAGGCGGUGGUCCCUCGGCAGCGAGGCUCUGGCGGGAGACAACCACGGCCAACAAUCCCUUUCUCCUCCAUGUCUAGGUUCAGUCUACUUCAGAAGAUGUGGACUUGGAAGAACCACAGACGUCGGACAACCCGACGCAGUCGUUUGAGAUUCAUAAUAUCGUCUGGAGUCUCACACAGCUUUUGGCCGUGAUAAUAUACAUUAUAUGAUAUAGAUAUCUAUGUAUAAUAAUAUCAUUUAGGUAUAGAGCUCCAGGACUCCCGCCGGAGUGUUGUAGAAUAUUUACAAAACACGGCCAAAGGCUGUGUGCGCCUCGCCAUUGCGAUACAUCCACUGUAAACAGAGCGCAUGGUACCGUGGCAGCAAGCUGCUCAGGGCCACACCCCCACCUUCCUCCUUGACCUGCCUCUCUCCUCCUCAUUUGCAUUAAAGCUACAGACACCGAAACGGCGCGUUUGGGGAAAGCUCAAUGUCGGCUGAAUUUCGGGAACGUCUUCAAAUACUGUGUUUGGGGCCCGGUAAUAUCUGUAUUAAAGCAUCCACAAAGUAGCAUGCCAUGGGACCUUUAAGAACGCCAAAAAAAGCUGUAGUCUGAUCAUAUGCUCUUCAAGAGGUCAGCACCGACUGGGUCGAAUAUGACAAGGUUUUUAUGAACCUUGUGUUUCCUACAGAGGCCUAUAAUGUGGACCGGCAGUUGUGCUGUGGAAGUCUGCGCAAUGUGACGAUCCUUAUAAAGGAACAGAAGGGCAGCAUUUGCUGUGGAGACGUCCAGUACAACCCAGAGAAACAGGGCUGCUGUGGAGAUCCUCCUAAAAUAAAGGAACUCUCAGUUCCCUAUGAAACAGACUCAGAACAGGGUUUGACCCAAGAGCCCACAGGUUUGUUUCCUUCUCAGUACUACAUGCACACUUCAGUGAAAAUAGAUAAAUUGUAUAAAAGAUGACAUGUCCACAGUAAACAACAUGAUCCCGACACCCGGGACAUUGUCGAAGUGCUGUGGACUGGGUGAGUAUCGAUCAUCUGUUACAAAACACAGUAGAUGUUAUCUAGUUUGUGGUCUGAAUCCAGUCCGGUCCUUCGUAUCGGGUGUGGUGUGUGGAGCGGGGUGAUGCUGGCCCCGAGAUGCUGU